UCUUGUUCAGCAGCAGCUGUCAGUCUGUUGCAGGCUGUUGGUAACAAGUCAUUUCUGCAAGGUGGUGAAGACUGCAAGGUAGAACCGGACUCUUUGAGGAUGUCGAGUUCUCUUGUCGUGUGUGAGGUGGACGAAAGCCUGAAAGAUAAACUGAAAAAGUUUCGAUUUCGAAAAGAAACCAACAAUGCUGCCAUGUUAAUUAAAAUAGACAUGAAGCAACAGCGUGUCGUCCUUGAAGAGAA
This is a long non-coding RNA of Thalassophryne amazonica, 242 nucleotides long. RefSeq lists it as uncharacterized. The record is from RefSeq and is a predicted model, not a curated record. Lineage: Eukaryota; Metazoa; Chordata; Actinopteri; Batrachoidiformes; Batrachoididae. The transcript is spliced from 3 exons.